GUGGGGAAUAUUGGACAAUGGGCGAAAGCCUGAUCCAGCCAUGCCGCGUGUGUGAAGAAGGUCUUCGGAUUGUAAAGCACUUUAAGUUGGGAGGAAGGGCAGUAAGCUAAUACCUUGCUGUUUUGACGUUACCGACAGAAUAAGCACCGGCUAACUCUGUGCCAGCAGCCGCGGUAAUACAGAGGGUGCAAGCGUUAAUCGGAAUUACUGGGCGUAAAGCGAGCGAAGGUGGUUCGUUAAGUUGGAUGUGAAAGCCGCGGGCUCAACCUGGGAACUGCAUCCAAAACUGGCGAGCUAGAGUACGGUAGAGGGUGGUGGAAUUUCCUGUGUAGCGGUGAAAUGCGUAGAUAUAGGAAGGAACACCAGUGGCGAAGGCGACCACCUGGACUGAUACUGACACUGAGGUGCGAAAGCGUGGGGAGCAAACAGGAUUAGAAACCCCAGUAGUCC
This 450-nucleotide ribosomal RNA is filed under the name uncultured bacterium. RNAcentral's name for it is "partial 16S ribosomal RNA". It matches the Rfam family "Bacterial small subunit ribosomal RNA", at positions 354 to 796 of the family's 1533-position model. The record is from RNAcentral.